GUAAUAUUUUUUAUGGUUUCGGUGCGUGUGUCAGAUGGGUCCAGGAGGUGUGCAUUCGUCUCAUCUCGUAAUGUUCGUAGCAGAUCCAUGUGUUCUUUGGUGUGCUGUCGCUUGAGGAAGGAUGCCCGGCUGAUUAAGUAACUUCUCAUGACCGCUUUGUGGGCCUGCCAGACGGAGGUAGUGGAGGCCCCGGAUUCUGCAUUGUUGUGGAAGUAGUCUUGCAGGUGUUGCGUUAGCUUUGCUUUGAAUGGAG
Non-coding RNA from Pelobates cultripes (western spadefoot toad), 253 nucleotides. NCBI's taxonomy places the organism in Eukaryota, Metazoa, Chordata, Amphibia, Anura, Pelobatidae. The record is from the annotation of a GenBank genome assembly.